RNAcentral lists this long non-coding RNA (883 nucleotides) under Homo sapiens (human). RNAcentral's name for it is "HSALNT0196775". Lineage: Eukaryota; Metazoa; Chordata; Mammalia; Primates; Hominidae. The record is from RNAcentral.
CAGAUGGGGAAGCUGAGGCCCAGAGAAGUUAAGUAAGUUGUCUAAGUUCACAAAGUUACCAGAAGAUUGUGGAGUGGUCUUCCAGGGAGAGUUAUCUUGUAUCAGGAAGGAGAGAUGAUUACUUAGGAAAGCCCAAGAAACAACAGGUAUUUGAAAGCUAUAGCAGUUCAUCUGGGGUUGAUCUGGGAGCAUACAGCAAAAAAAGAGCUAAAAUGCAAGGCACCAACGUAGAAAAGCCCACCUGGUCUCUCUUCUUAGGGUGGCUCCUCUCUGUCUCUCUGCCUCUGCCUCUUGUCCUAGCCCAGCAUGGCCGCAGGUCCCAGGUUCUGUGACAUCACAGUGCAGUGCCCACAGCUCACUGUUGGUUCCUGCCAUUGAGAUUAUCUGAUUGGCCACUGGCCAGCCAAUGGUGGAUCAGACUUUGGAGCAGGUGAUCCUUGGACGCCCACAGUACAUCACCUUCAUGAGCGCAUCAGUGAACACCAGUCUAAGGAAGACAUCUCUGAACGUAAUUUUGGAGAUUUUGAUGAGUUCCAUUGAAACAAGGAGGAAUGUGAUGUCCAGUAUCAGUUCUGCAGACCCAAGGACAAAGAAAAUUCUGUGAUAAACUCAUCCAGUGUGACUGUAAUACCAGGCAGUGAUAGAAGAACUGGGGGAAGAGAUAAUUGUAUUUAUCUUGGUGAGGGUGACAAAUCAUGGCAAAUGAGCAAAAUGAAAAAGGAUACAAGACACCGGACUUUCAAAUCAACAAUUGUUUCAAAAGACUCCUACUGGAUUCCUGCUAGUGAUGGGAGAAAAUUAUCAUUCUGCCCUGCUGGAAAUUUUCCAUGCUCUUCAUUCGUUCUCCUGUAUUUCCUAACGCCAAUAAAAGAGGAGAUCCCUG